RNAcentral lists this ribosomal RNA (526 nucleotides) under uncultured bacterium. Its description in RNAcentral is "bacterial SSU rRNA". It matches the Rfam family "Bacterial small subunit ribosomal RNA", at positions 335 to 862 of the family's 1533-position model. The record is from RNAcentral.
CACCUACGGGUGGCUGCAGUAAGGAAUAUUGGUCAAUGGACGAAAGUCUGAACCAGCCAUGCCGCGUGAAGGAUGAAGGCCCUCUGGGUUGUAAACUUCUUUUAUCUGGGACGAAAAAAGGGCUUUCUAGCUCACUUGACGGUACCAGAGGAAUAAGCACCGGCUAACUCCGUGCCAGCAGCCGCGGUAAUACGGAGGGUGCAAGCGUUAUCCGGAUUCACUGGGUUUAAAGGGUGCGUAGGUGGGUUUGUAAGUCAGUGGUGAAAUCUCCGAGCUUAACUCGGAAACUGCCAUUGAUACUAUAGAUCUUGAAUCAUCUGGAGGUAAGCGGAAUAUGUCAUGUAGCGGUGAAAUGCUUAGAUAUGACAUAGAACACCAAUUGCGAAGGCAGCUUACUACGGGUGCAUUGACACUGAGGCACGAAAGCGUGGGGAUCAAACAGGAUUAGAUACCCUGGUAGUCCACGCCCUAAACGAUGGAUACUCGACAUCAGCGAUACACUGUUGGUGUCUGAGCGAAAGCAUUA